AAUAAAACCAACACUCCACCUAUUUAACAACUCAAUCUUGGCUGAGCAAGAUGAUGACACAGACCUCUCAAAAUGCAUCAAGAGGAGAAUACUGGAGUACCUAAAUGAAAAGUAUGGUGACUCACCAACACAAGAGUUGCUUGACAUGGCCACUGUCCUGGACCCAAGGUUCAAACUGAGAUAUGUAAGCGAGGUCAGCCAAGAGACAAUAAAAGCCAGACUGACAAUGGAAAUGAAGUCCAUCAUGGAGGCUGCAGUGAUGGGGACACCCGUUGGUAACACGGAGGUUGCUGAUGAUGGUGCAUCAAACCAAAAGAAGAGGGAAAAGGGCCUAAGCAGCUUCUUUAAGGCCCCUCACAGCACAGCUCCAGGUGCAGAACAUGCUCUUCAACUUGUCCAGGCCAUAGCUUUUGAGUAUCAGGCCUACCUCCAGGCAGGGACCCUGGACACAGAGGAAGACCCACUGGGGUGGUGGAAGCUAUCACAGAACCUCUUCCCACGACUCUCCAUCCUGGCAAAGAAAUAUCUUUGCAUCCCAGCCACAAAUGCCUCAACAGAAAGGGUCUUUAGUACUGGUGGAAAUGUUGUCAACUGCCUGCGUGCAUCCCUGAAGCCUGAUCAUGUCAAUAGGCUGGUGAUUUUGGCUAAAAACCUUUGAAAGGUUGCAGGAACCAUGUUUUGUUGAGCCAUUUUGAGAUUGUAUGGGACUCGGGCCUACUAGUUUUUAUUUAUUUCUUAUAAAAGGUACUACUUUCAGUGUUUAAUUUUAUUUUUGUUCAGGCAGCAACUUUAGUUGACAUACCUCAAUGUCAGUUUGAUGCAAUUGUGCAUUGUGUGGCUACACAGCUUGCCUUGAUGUUUGGUUAUUUGUAUGCAUAAAUAUUAUGCAGUAGUUUGAAGUUCACUAAACAUUAAUGUUUACAUUUUUUAUUUAUUUUUUAUAUUGCAAACAUUUGCACGGUUAUCAGAAUUUGCACAUUAUUUUAUGACAAUCUUUAAAGCUGGCAAUGCAUUGUUAUUGUUAAAUAAAUAUCGUGAAAUAAUCGUGAUCUCAAUUUCAUUGAAAAUAAUCGUGAUUAUCAUUUUUGCCAUAAUCGAGCAGCCCUAACCAUCACCAUCCAUAAGGUCAGUCUUCUGAAAACUGGCGAUAACCCUCACUUUAUCCUGAUCAACCGAGACACCACCAGCAUCCACGACAUGACCCAAAACACAGCAGUAAUCAUUCCGAUUCAACUCAGGGCGGCAACGAAGUGACACCUUGACCACAUCUCUGGCUUUGCCAGUAAGUCUAGACAUUAAUAUG
Astatotilapia calliptera (eastern happy) is the source of this 1303-nucleotide long non-coding RNA. Lineage: Eukaryota; Metazoa; Chordata; Actinopteri; Cichliformes; Cichlidae. The record is from Ensembl.